RNAcentral lists this ribosomal RNA (494 nucleotides) under uncultured bacterium. RNAcentral's name for it is "partial 16S ribosomal RNA". It matches the Rfam family "Bacterial small subunit ribosomal RNA", at positions 28 to 507 of the family's 1533-position model. The record is from RNAcentral.
GACGAACGCUGGCGGCGCGCUUAACACAUGCAAGUCGAAUGGAAAGGCCUGCUUUCCCUUGUGGAUUGCGGGUACUCGAGUGGCGAACGGGUGAGUAACACGUGAGUGAUCUGCCCCCAACUUGGGUAUAAGCCUGGGAAACUGGGUCUAAUUCCCGAUAGGACUGCAGGGUGGUGCCUGUGGUGGAAAACGAUUUUCUAGUGGUUGGGGAUGAGCUCGCGGCCUAUCAGCUUGUUGGUGGGGUAAUGGCCUACCAAGGCGGCGACGGGUAGCCGGCCUGAGAGGGUGGACGGCCACAUUGGGACUGAGAUACGGCCCAGACUCCUACGGGAGGCAGCAGUGGGGAAUAUUGCACAAUGGGCGGAAGCCUGAUGCAGCGACGCCGCGUGGGGGAUGACGGCCUUCGGGUUGUAAACUCCUUUCGACCGCGAGGAAGCCACCUGGUUGGAAGGGUGGUGACGGUAGUGGUAGAAGAAGCACCGGCUAACUACGUG